Non-coding RNA from Callorhinus ursinus (northern fur seal), 804 nucleotides. The record is from RefSeq and is a predicted model, not a curated record. NCBI's taxonomy places the organism in Eukaryota, Metazoa, Chordata, Mammalia, Carnivora, Otariidae.
GGAGGAGGAGGAGGAGGGACUCGGCGGGAGGAUGGGCUUGCUCUCAAUUUUGCGCAAAUUGAAAAGUGCACCAGACCAGGAGGUGAGAAUUCUUCUCCUGGGCUUGGAUAAUGCUGGCAAGACCACUCUUCCAAAGCAGCUUGCAUCUGAAGACAUCAGCCACAUUACACCUACACAGGGAUUUCACAUCAAAAGUGUACAAUCACAAGGUUUUAAACUGAAUGUAUGGGACAUUGGUAGACAGAGAAAAAUCAGACCAUACUGGAGAAAUUAUUUUGAAAAUACUGGUAUUCUCAUAUAUGUAAUGGACAGUGCAGACAGAAAAAGAUUUGAAGAGACGGGUCAGGAACUAGCUGAAUUACUGGAGGAAGAAAAACUAAGUUGUGUGCCAGUGCUCAUCUUUGCUAACAAGCAGGAUUUGCUCACGGCAGCCCCUGCCUCUGAAAUUGCAGAAGGACUAAACCUGCAUACCAUCCGCGACCGCGUCUGGCAGAUCCAGUCCUGCUCAGCUCUCACAGGAGAGGGCGUUCAGGACGGCACGAACUGGGUCUGCAAAAAUGUCAAUGCAAAGAAGAAAUAAAAUCUAGCCGAACGGAGAGACGCAGGAGCUGUGGGAGCUGAAUUCUGUCCUGAAAAACACUAAUUUGCUGCUUUCUGACCAAAUGUUUUUCCAUCUGCGUACAGCUACAGCUGUUUGAAGGCAGGGAACCACACAGUUUAUAAAGAAUCCCCGUUCCAGCAGCUUUAACUGAUCUCUGAGGCUCAGUAUCAUUCUUCAAAUAAAGGAAUUAUAUUAUUUCCUCU